This 689-nucleotide ribosomal RNA is filed under the name Pseudomonas sp. Its description in RNAcentral is "bacterial SSU rRNA". It matches the Rfam family "Bacterial small subunit ribosomal RNA", at positions 23 to 707 of the family's 1533-position model. The record is from RNAcentral. Lineage: Bacteria; Pseudomonadati; Pseudomonadota; Gammaproteobacteria; Pseudomonadales; Pseudomonadaceae.
CUCAGAUUGAACGCUGGCGGCAGGCCUAACACAUGCAAGUCGAGCGGUAGAGAGAAGCUUGCUUCUCUUGAGAGCGGCGGACGGGUGAGUAAUGCCUAGGAAUCUGCCUGGUAGUGGGGGAUAACGUUCGGAAACGGACGCUAAUACCGCAUACGUCCUACGGGAGAAAGCAGGGGACCUUCGGGCCUUGCGCUAUCAGAUGAGCCUAGGUCGGAUUAGCUAGUUGGUGAGGUAAUGGCUCACCAAGGCGACGAUCCGUAACUGGUCUGAGAGGAUGAUCAGUCACACUGGAACUGAGACACGGUCCAGACUCCUACGGGAGGCAGCAGUGGGGAAUAUUGGACAAUGGGCGAAAGCCUGAUCCAGCCAUGCCGCGUGUGUGAAGAAGGUCUUCGGAUUGUAAAGCACUUUAAGUUGGGAGGAAGGGCAGUUACUUAAUACGUGAUUGUUUUGACGUUACCGACAGAAUAAGCACCGGCUAACUCUGUGCCAGCAGCCGCGGUAAUACAGAGGGUGCAAGCGUUAAUCGGAAUUACUGGGCGUAAAGCGCGCGUAGGUGGUUUGUUAAGUUGGAUGUGAAAUCCCCGGGCUCAACCUGGGAACUGCAUUCAAAACUGACUGACUAGAGUGUGGUAGAGGGUGGUGGAAUUUCCUGUGUAGCGGUGAAAUGCGUAGAUAUAGGAAGGAAC